This 255-nucleotide ribosomal RNA is filed under the name uncultured bacterium. RNAcentral describes it as "partial 16S ribosomal RNA". It matches the Rfam family "Bacterial small subunit ribosomal RNA", at positions 524 to 776 of the family's 1533-position model. The record is from RNAcentral.
UACGAAGGGGGGCUAGCGUUGUUCGGAAUUACUGGGCGUAAAGCGCACGUAGGCGGAUUGUUAAGUUAGGGGUGAAAUCCCAGGGCUCAACCCUGGAACUGCCUUUAAUACUGGCAAUCUCGAGUCCGAGAGAGGUGAGUGGAAUUCCGAGUGUAGAGGUGAAAUUCGUAGAUAUUCGGAGGAACACCAGUGGCGAAGGCGGCUCACUGGCUCGGUACUGACGCUGAGGUGCGAAAGCGUGGGGGAGCAAACAGG